GGGGGCGGCGCAGCGCCGGGCCAACGCGCUGGGGACCCGCCUGGCGCAGAGGGGGCAUCACCCAGAUGCCUGGGUCACCCCCGGACGCCUGGGUCCCUCCUGAACUCCUGGGUCCCCUCCUGAACUCCUGGGUCCUCCCCAGACUCCUGGGUCCCUGGGAUGCCUUGGUUCCCCCCCCCACUCCUGGGUCCCCCCGGACGCCUGGGUCCCCCCCAGACUCCUGGGUCCCCCCCGAAUGCCUGGGGAGCUGCUGGAGACACCUGGGACCCCUCCCGAACUCCUGGGUCCCCCAAAGUCCUGGUUGUCCCCCCGGAUGCCUGGGUCCCCCCGGACGCCUGGGUCCCCCCCCCGAACUCCUGGGUCCCCCAGACACC
This is a long non-coding RNA of Columba livia (rock pigeon), 374 nucleotides long. RefSeq lists it as uncharacterized. The record is from RefSeq and is a predicted model, not a curated record. The transcript has 2 exons. NCBI's taxonomy places the organism in Eukaryota, Metazoa, Chordata, Aves, Columbiformes, Columbidae.